UACGGGGGAUGCGAGCGUUAUCCGGAUUUAUUGGGUUUAAAGGGUGCGCAGGCGGCACGGCAAGCCGGCGGUCAAAUCGCGGGGCUUAACCCCGCCCAGCCGUCGGAACUGCCGGGCUAGAGUGGGCGAGAAGUGCGCGGAAUGCGUGGUGUAGCGGUGAAAUGCAUAGAUAUCACGCAGAACUCCGAUUGCGAAGGCAGCGCACCGGCGCCCUACUGACGCUCAGGCACGAAAGCGUGGGUAUCGAACAGG
Molecule: ribosomal RNA, 252 nt
Filed under: uncultured bacterium
Lineage: Bacteria
Description: partial 16S ribosomal RNA
Rfam family: Bacterial small subunit ribosomal RNA
Source: RNAcentral